This is a long non-coding RNA of Poecilia latipinna (sailfin molly), 1513 nucleotides long. RefSeq lists it as uncharacterized. Lineage: Eukaryota; Metazoa; Chordata; Actinopteri; Cyprinodontiformes; Poeciliidae. The transcript has 3 exons. The record is from RefSeq and is a predicted model, not a curated record.
AAGCAACCCUCAACCACCAGAGCAACACAGUGCCUCGAUCGGUGAUCAGUGUCAGUUUGAGAAAGUCCAACAUGAAGUGGAUUACUCUUUAUCUCCUAACACUCUGCUUCCCUACGACCAGAGCCAACUGUAACCCUAACCAUAUUUUAGAUGAUUGCAUAAACCAAAAUCCUGUACCGUGGCAAAGGUGCUAUGACAAUAAAAUUACGGCGUGCAAACCAAUUGGUCGUUCCCAUGGGUUUGUUAAUGUCGACAAGAAAGCAUCAGAACAGGUGAGGUGAUCAGAGGUAAAACUUUUAUCUGGGAAGCAUCAACACAUGAAAAUUGAUUGUUGUUUUUGUUUGUUUUGUUGUUGUUGUUGUUGUUUUUUAAGAAAGUGACACAUUUUAAGCAUUUAUUUCAGUUUAUUUUAAUGAUUAGGGAUUACUGCUAACAAACCCCCCAAUGUUUAAGAUAAUUCUAACCAAUAAAAAAGUUUUUUAUUGGUGUAUAUUGGUUGGUUUGACUGUUGGUUUUAGUGGUGGCCAACCUCAAAGUAUGUGAUUGUACCAUACAGUAUAUACACCUACUAGGUCGAGUUCCAAGCAUUGCAUGGAAGUGAUCAACUUCUGAUUCUGCUGAGGUGUUAAGGAAUCCCAUAUUGUUUUCAACUUGUCUUCAUUGUUGGGUCUAGUACCUCAUCUUCCUCCUGACAGAACCAUGUAGACUCCAUUGGGCUCUAGUAAGGCCAGUAUUCUGGUCACCAUAAUGGUUCUUUGGUACAUUUGGUAGUAUGGGUAGGUGAUAAAUCCUGCUGAAAAAUGAAAUCAGCAUCUCCAUAAACAUUGUCAGAAGCAAAGAAGCAAGGGAUGCUCUAAAACUUCCUGCCAGAUGACUCUGAACUUGAUCAACAUCAGUGGACCACCACCAUCAGUGGACCACCACCAUCAGGUGACGAAGACUUAACACCCCUAUUUGUGACAGUCAUCCCAAACUCUGACCUUGAUUUCCUCAGUGAAAACUUUACUUUCACAUGAAAAGAGAAGUUUGGACCAGUGAGCAACAGUCCACUUCUUUGUUCUUCUCAUCAAAGGUAUAAGUGUUGUCUCUAGUACUGGUGUUUAACAAACUGAAUGUUGUAGCCCAUAUCUUGGAUAAAUCGGUGUAUAAGGUGACUUUUAAACUCCUGACUCCAGCAUCACUCGAUGUCUUGUGAGUUUUUGCCAAACUCCUAUUUCCUUCCUUCCUUGUGAAACUUUUUUUUCUUUUCCAUUAACAUUGAAGGAGAUAGAACUUGUUCAGCUGUGGUCACUGACACCAACCAUGUCUUUAUGGUUGAUGUCAGUGACCGAAUACUGAAAGUGUCCAGUCAGAGGUCUUUCUCAUGAUUAUGAAGGUCACAACAUUUCUGUAAAUGUCCAAUGUUCUGAGAAACUGAAUGAUGGGUUUCCAUGAGAUGUAAGACAUAAACAUCAAAAUGAACAGUAUAUGCAUGAAAAGAAAAUAUACAGCUGAAACCAGAAUUUUACUUACA